ACCAUGCAGUCGACGAUGACUCUCUAGCUUGCUGGAGAAGAUUAGUGGCGGACGGGUGAGUAACAUUUAGGAAUCUGCCUAGUAGUGGGGGAUAGCUCGGGGAAACUCGAAUUAAUACCGCAUACGACCUACGGGUGAAAGGGGGCGCAAGCUCUUGCUAUUAGAUGAGCCUAAAUCAGAUUAGCUAGUUGGUGGGGUAAAGGCCCACCAAGGCGACGAUCUGUAACUGGUCUGAGAGGAUGAUCAGUCACACCGGAACUGAGACACGGUCCGGAYUCCUACGGGAGGCAGCAGUGGGGAAUAUUGGACAAUGGGGGCAACCCUGAUCCAAGCCAUGCCGCGUGUGUGAAGAAGGCCUUUUGGUUGUAAAGCACUUUAAGCAGGGAGGAGAGGCUAAUGGUUAAUACCCAUUAGAUUAGACGUUACCUGCAGAAUAAGCACCGGCUAACUCUGUGCCAGCAGCCGCGGUAAUACAGAGGGUGCGAGCGUUAAUCGGAAUUACUGGGCGUAAAGCGAGUGUAGGUGGCUCAUUAAGUCACAUGUGAAAUCCCCGGGCUUAACCUGGGAACUGCAUGUGAUACUGGUGGUGCUAGAAUAUGUGAGAGGGAAGUAGAAUUCCAGGUGUAGCGGUGAAAUGCGUAGAGAUCUGGAGGAAUACCGAUGGCGAAGGCAGCUUCCUGGCAUAAUAUUGACACUGAGAUUCGAAAGCGUGGGUAGCAAACAGGAUUAGAUACCCUGGUAGUCCACGCCGUAAACGAUGUCUACUAGCCGUUGGGGUCCUUGAGACUUUAGUGGCGCAGUUAACGCGAUAAGUAGACCGCCUGGGGAGUACGGCCGCAAGGUUAAAACUCAAAUGAAUUGACGGGGGCCCGCACAAGCGGUGGAGCAUGUGGUUUAAUUCGAUGCAACGCGAAGAACCUUACCUGGUCUUGACAUAGUGAGAAUCCUGCAGAGAUGCGGGAGUGCCUUCGGGAAUUCACAUACAGGUGCUGCAUGGCUGUCGUCAGCUCGUGUCGUGAGAUGUUGGGUUAAGUCCCGCAACGAGCGCAACCCUUUUCCUUAUUUGCCAGCGGGUUAAGCCGGGAACUUUAAGGAUACUGCCAGUGACAAACUGGAGGAAGGCGGGGACGACGUCAAGUCAUCAUGGCCCUUACGACCAGGGCUACACACGUGCUACAAUGGUAGGUACAGAGGGUUGCUACACAGCGAUGUGAUGCUAAUCUCAAAAAGCCUAUCGUAGUCCGGAUUGGAGUCUGCAACUCGACUCCAUGAAGUCGGAAUCGCUAGUAAUCGCGGAUCAGAAUGCUGCGGUGAAUACGUUCCCGGGCCUUGUACACACCGCCCGUCACACCAUGGGAGUCUAUUGCACCAGAAGUAGGUAGCCUAACGCAAGAGG
This 1396-nucleotide ribosomal RNA is filed under the name Faucicola osloensis. RNAcentral describes it as "bacterial SSU rRNA". It matches the Rfam family "Bacterial small subunit ribosomal RNA". Lineage: Bacteria; Pseudomonadati; Pseudomonadota; Gammaproteobacteria; Moraxellales; Moraxellaceae. The record is from RNAcentral.